Long non-coding RNA from Lemur catta (Ring-tailed lemur), 3919 nucleotides. RefSeq lists it as uncharacterized. The record is from RefSeq and is a predicted model, not a curated record. The transcript has 3 exons. Lineage: Eukaryota; Metazoa; Chordata; Mammalia; Primates; Lemuridae.
CUCAAGCCAUCUUCCCACCUUGGCCUCCCAAAGUGCUGGGAUUACAGGCCUCAGCCACCCUGCCUGGUCUCAUUCAUUGCUUUUGAUUAAGCUAUUGAUCCUGCUGCAGCGUAGUGGGGCGGGGGCCAGGAGGUGUCAGAGAGAUGCAUUAGAUUAGAUAUUUGCCUAUUAUUAAAGGCUUAACUGUAGCUUAACUGACCCUGUGCUUUUAACCAUCUGGCUGCUGGGAGCUGGGGAGUCACGGGAUGCAGGAAGAGUUCAUUAGGGAGCAUAGGUGGGAAGAGUGACCAGAAAACCAGGUGGGAGGUGAUCAAAUGCCCCAGAAAAGUUCACUGAGCUAUGAAGACUGCAGAGGCCAUUGGACUCAGUGACCCUUGAAAAAACAGGAAGAGCAGCUACUGGGAUGGGCAGUGCUAGAGAGGGAUGGGAUCCACAUGGCCAGGCUGCCCGGUAGGUGUGGGAUGGGAGCUGUUCUUGUGGGCACAGGAGAGGGAGGGCAUUGUGAGGGGAAGGAGUCAAAGUGACUGUAACUCUCAAGAUGUUUGGUGCAAAGAGGUGGAGGGUCCAGGGCAGGUGUGUGUAGGCAAUUGACUGGAAGUAUUUGUGAGGACCCAGUUGGGAUCCAGGCAAUGCAGUUCCCCGCCAUUUCCCACCCUGUGAUGGCUGGUGUUGGGUGUGAACAGUGGGAUUUACACAGAGGUGGGAAUUGGUGGGUUCAGACAGGCAAAGGGCUGGGAGUCCAGUGACUGCAGCUCAUUAGGAAGCCUCUGCCAUAGUCUGAAGGUGGGGAGCACCUGGGCGGAGAAGGUGAGAGGAGCUGGGGCUGUCCUCCCAGCAGGGACCUGAAUGCUCCGGUGGGCCCAUCUGCAGGCUGUGGCUCUGUGGUGACCACAGGGAGGUCAGGAUUGGGGGACAGGUGGGGGAGUCAGGAGGCAGAUGGGUCCCCAGGAACAGAUGGUUUUCUGCAGUGAGUAAGCUGCAGGGCCAGGCAUCGCAGAGGGGCCGGGUUGUGGAGAAGAGCAGGUGGUGGCAACCAGGGUAUGGAAAGGGCUGGGUGAUGGGCCCAGACCUCCCAGAGGAUGGGUGGUGAAGAUGUAGUAGCUCCUGGGCCUGGCACAGUGCUGGGGAGUGAGGCUGCCCUCCUCCCUGGGGAGAGUGAGAGGAGGGGGCCCUGCAGGGGCAGCUGUGGGGGAAGCGGUGGGUGCUCUGGGCUGAAGGGGAUGGGGAAGGACCAGACAGGGAAGGCAGCAGCCACAGCAGUGACUGGAAAACCGUUCUGCCAACUCUCCCGAAACAGAAAGGACUCACGCAUUCCUACUGAGAUUUUCUCCACAUAACAUUCAGCCCCUUAGAGCUGCUCAGAUGUGGAACAGAGGAGGAAGGGGUCUUUGAUGUAGGUCAGCCCCUGUUUCACCGAGGGGAAAGCGAGGUACAUGGAGAAGCCCAGCAGCCUUAGCCACAUGGCCGCUGGUGGCAGGGCCAGAUUCAGUUUGCAAGUGCUUUGUUGAAUGUGAACUUCUUAGCUCUACAACAAUCUCUUAACUCAAAUUCAUCUCUCCUUGAUCAAAAUUAAGAAAAGAUACAAUGUUCUUUAAGAGAAAAAGUACAUUUCAGCCUAUAUAAUUUCAGCUAUUGAAACUUACCAUAAACUUGGUACUACCCUUCCUAGGAAAAUCAAAUAUAAUAAAGCUUUGGAACCACUUCUGAGUUUGAACUUCAGAUGAACAUCAUUCUCUAAGACUCACAAUGCACAAGAAACUGAGAAAGCCAUGAACUGGCGCCAUCAGGACAGGCUUACUUGAGUGCCCUCAUGUGCCCUCCCUUACAGAUUCCUUCCAUCCCGAGGCCAGGACUUCCUUUAAAACUGUGUUCCUAGUCGUUUUGUCAAAAUACAUUUUUACUUAUUUAUCAGAAAUCCUUCAUUUAGAGAGUUAGAUCAGUGGUUCAUCCCCCAUUGGCAAUGUCAAAACUAAGUGCAACAAACAUUUAUUAAGCAUUUAGGGAAUGUUACAUACAUAACCUCUUUCAUACUUGCAUGUACUCUUUUAAUCACUUCAGUGAUUUUUGUUUCCCCCCAAAUCUGAAUUUCUGUGUCAGGCGUUCUCUUUAACUUACAAGUCGUGUCACAACCACAAGAUUCCCCCCUGGGCCUUCUGAGUCAGCGGGACACAAUCUUGAUAUAGACGCCGUUUUUUGGACCUAGGGCAGAUUUGGAUUCUAACAGCAGCGGUACCUAAAAUGGAGGAAAUUAAAAUAUUUGUCAAAGUUAACGAUAUCUAUGGGAAAACUGCCUCGGAACCAGGCCUCAAGCAGGCUUGAAAUUUGGCUGUGGGCUGAGGGAUGGCUGGGCUAGCAGUGAGCAAGGAACCACCCCCAAGUUGGACCACAGUUCCUGGAAGAGCCAAUGAAGCUGCCUUCCUGGACUGACACCCCCCACCCCCAGCACACUGUGAGUAACAUUGGCACCCCCCUUUCCCAUGGUAAUGAAAUGUGCAAAGAGUGUGUUUGGUCCUGCAUUUAUCCACCCAGGGGCCUGGGUAAGAGGUGGUAGCUUCUCACCCUGCAGGUGAGGAAUGGAGGUUCAAGAAGGCCAAGUAACUUGGCCAAGGUCACCGCUGGCAUGGAGAGCAAAGACCCCAAGCCUGACUUUCAACAAUUCUAACCCUCCUUGCUGGUCCCUCCUCAUCCCACUCGCUGGUGCCAGGGCAGUGACUGAGCAGUCCCCUCUCUUUCCCAGGGGCUUUGGGGAGAGGGGGAUGGGAGCAGUUUUCUGCUCAUGCACGUUGUGGUCUGGCCUCACUGACAACGAGAAAGCUUUUCUAUGUCCAACAUAAAAGGCAGAGUCAGUAGCAGACUGGGGGCUUCGAAGAAAAGCCAAAGAAUUCCUCAAGGAGCUGGAUUUCCCCUGGAGCCAUGUGUAAAAUGAUGAUUUCACAGCUAAUGAAAUCAUCCCCUGACAGGGACGGGCUGUGGUCACGGGGACUGGAGAGUGUCUGCGCUUGGGGGUGGGGGUGGGGGUCGAGGCUGUGGCAGCUGGGAGCACCCUCCAAGGAGCUGAAACCCCCUAGCCUCCCCUCCAAGCAGAGAGGGCCUUAGGGGGUGAGGAGGAGCCAGGGGGAGUGUCCCUGGCUUCUGUGGGACAAGCCACGCACCCCAAAACCCCUUCAAAAGCAGGCGCCCUACACAAUAGGAAACACUGCUAUCUGAGUGCUCCUUGUGGAAGGAAGAGCUACAGCAACAUGAGGCUCAGCCCUGCGCACGGAGAGCAGUAGUGAAGACCACGCAGACACAUGCGGUGGAUGUCGCCUGCCUGGCACUCACCAGAGCACUUGCACGAGCUCGUUUAUUCCUCACACGACAUUAAGAGGUGGAGGGUGUUACUAUUAUCAUUCCCCUUUUAUGGAUCAAGAACUGAUACCAAGGGAGGUUAAGGAGCUCACCCAAACUCACCGCGGAGCCCGAUUCCACCCCAGGCUGGCCAGCUGCAGCGCAGGGAGCUGGGGUGACCAGCCCUGCCCCAAGUGUCAGGCCUUACCUGAGUCUCAGCACAGGCCUGGAACCGGAACUUGCACAGGAUGUGGAGCAGCGUCAGCUUGACCUCCAGCAGCCCCAGCCGCACCCCGAGGCAGCUCCGAGGGCCUGCCCCGAAGGGCAGUGCACACCCAAAAUGCAAUCCCGUCUCCUGUGUCCUGGCUUGAACAAGCAGAAGACAAUCAUUUGAAAUUGCCUUGUUUCUUGGGUGCAGUGCUGCUGAGAUGCUAAAUCUCUGGAUUCAGUUUGGAGCUUUUUAAAAUGAUCCUGUCUGGGCUGAAGUGGACUGUCCUGUUGUCUGAGUGAGAAUCAUGACUCCUUGCCUCUCGUCGCUGCUGUUUGCGAAGAGAAGCCGGCCAAGCCCAUGUGACGACAGUGCCCGCGGGGA